Molecule: long non-coding RNA, 472 nt
Organism: Hipposideros armiger (great roundleaf bat)
Lineage: Eukaryota; Metazoa; Chordata; Mammalia; Chiroptera; Hipposideridae
Exons: 4
Source: RefSeq, a predicted model, not a curated record
UGAGCGCCUCGGCCCCCAGAUCCAAGAUGGACUGUGAGAAGGCCUGGCUGCGGGCCACCAGGUUUCGGAUCAGCAUACAGGCCUGUUUCUAAAAGGGAGAGCAGAAGGCGCUACAUUGUGACUCAUCAGGCCAGAGGCAUCCCUUCACUUCAUCCUCUCAGCAGCUCUGGAGGCAGGGCUAAUCCCCCAUCUCUCCCAGCCUCCUGUGGGUGUGCCUUCAUGGCUUCCAGUGCAGCCAAAGCCCCACCGCCCUCCACGAUGACCCGGCUGUUCUCCGGCUUGCGCAGGGCCAAGACACACAGGGCUGCGCAGCUCUGUUCACACACCUGCGGGAUGGGUCACAGGGAUGAAUGAGACCAAGCCAACAGGCCCCAAUUAUCAACUCCCCAGCCUCUUUCACUGCUUCCUCUGGCCCCAUCUCAAACUCCUCAAUGUUCUCAAGAACAGCCGCAUCGAAGGUCUCCUGGGUGAU